Molecule: non-coding RNA, 72 nt
Organism: Sclerotinia borealis F-4128
Lineage: Eukaryota; Fungi; Ascomycota; Leotiomycetes; Helotiales; Sclerotiniaceae
Source: the annotation of a GenBank genome assembly
GCCCGCUUGGCACAGGGGUACUGCGUAUCGCUCGUAACGAUAAGAUCCGCGGUUCGAUUCCGCGAGUGGGCA